UUCUCUCCAUGGCUGCAUCGUCACCCGUAAUCUUCAGUCCAGUGAUCAAUGUAAACUCAAAUAUCGAGAAACUGACGACCUUGCCCCCGAGGUUGAACUGGAGGGAAUCGCCGUCGACUGGCCUCAGAAGCCGACAUAGAAGUGCAUCAAUGAUCUGUCCUGAGUACUGCACCUCUCGCAACUGGUACAGUGGCCACAAGAAGGACUGUCGUAGAAUAUCUCCGUACUGAUCAUC
RNAcentral lists this long non-coding RNA (235 nucleotides) under Olea europaea (common olive). RNAcentral's name for it is "long non-coding RNA (OEUR_LNC014418)". The record is from RNAcentral. Lineage: Eukaryota; Viridiplantae; Streptophyta; Magnoliopsida; Lamiales; Oleaceae.